This 2421-nucleotide small RNA is filed under the name Pyricularia oryzae. RNAcentral's name for it is "Magnaporthe oryzae sRNA M_BR32_EuGene_00146711". Lineage: Eukaryota; Fungi; Ascomycota; Sordariomycetes; Magnaporthales; Pyriculariaceae. The record is from RNAcentral.
AAUAAUUAACGAUUAGCCAAUGGGUAGUUAAAGAUAUUUUAUAUAAAGAAAGGGAAUUUGUAAAUAAAUUAUUAAAAUAACAAAUUGUCAAUUUAUAAUACAAAGCCGCGGAAUUUGGGAAAGUUUCUAUUUAUAAAAAGCAUAAAUCCAUUUUAGCAAAAUAAAAUAAAGAUUUAAAGUUAAAUUACUGGCGGAAAAACAUAUUUACCACAGGUAAAAAAGGAAUUAAAUAAAGUAAAAAAAAGGUUUUGCAAUCGGAAACAGGGACGGAUAAACAAAAAAUAAAACCAGGCGACGGAACCCAAAAAUUGGCCCAUAUACCGGACAGCUUUUGGAAGAUAAACGAAAAUAAAACUGGUGUUAAAAUAUCGAAAAAAUUAAAAGCCAAACAGCGACAAAAGAUAUAUUUGACCCUCCCGGCAUAAUUUAACCGGAGCUUUUAUUGCAUAAUUAAUUUAUUAAAAUCGAAUUUUUUUACAAAAUUAAUUUUUUUCAGCCAAAACCUUUGGUUAAUUGUUAAAUACCCAUAUUUAACGUUCCAGCGAGCAAAUAAAAUAUAAGCCCAAGGUUUGAAAGCCCGCCGUACGCAAUAUCGCCAGUCCGGAUGGAAUGCAAUAUGCCAAAUAUCUUUAUAACCGGUUCGCAAAAACCCAGGCUGGAGGCCAACGGACAAACGGUACGCAUAUUAAUAAUUUCUUAUUUUCGUCGCUAAUUCGGCUAGGAUAUAUAUAAUGCAAUUAACCGUUAUUUGUGGAAUGUAAUCCAUUUAAUCGAAACCUCCCGCCGGGAAUAUAAUAAAAUAUUUUAAAAUUAUAAUAACCUUUUCGAAAAUUACAAAAUAUUAUAGGAUUAAAACCAAAAAUUCGAAUCGAAACUUUCCGCUGUUUCGGAUACCAAUAUUUAGCUGCGGGAUUGUAUUUCGACGAACGAAAUAUUAAAGGCGGCAUUCGGGUUUGAAUUUAAAAAAAGCGAGGACGAAAACGCCGCGGUUAAGGAGUGGUAUUAUUAAAAAAUUAAAAAUAAGGACGUCGAAAUUGUUAUAUUAAAGGAAAAAUUAAACGCGAUAUAUAAAUAGGUUAAACAGUCUGGAAUAAAUAUUGCAACCCCCAAAAUAUAAUUACCAAAAGGCGGAAAUUUAUCCAUUACGCAACGGAAACGCGCUAUUGCCGCAAAAGUAGUUUAAAAUGGAUUGUACGCUUAGUAUUGUUUUUCUCGUGCUGGGAAAAUGGGAUAAUGGGAGGAAGUAUGGUACGACAAAUGCAAAUAAUGGAAGCGAUGCAGGUAACCCGUUUGCAAAAUAAAAUAUAGGUGCUACGGUAUUAUAUGUUGGUUAUUUUGCUAUAAUAGCGUUUGUUAAAGUUAUGUAAUUUCCAUAUAUUUGCAGUGGAAGUUAGUCCCAAACCGGAACGUGGACUAAUUUAUAUACCAAUCCAAAAACAAAAACUAACAAUUUAUUAUUUUUAUAACCAAGAUUUGAGCUUUUUAUUCCCAAAGCCGUAAACCAAUCGUAUUAAAUUAUAAAACCCAAAUAUUUUAAAAACCGGCUCGAAAAAUUAAAAUUAUUUCACAUUUAAUUGGGGUAAAAAUUGCGAAUUCCAAUAAUAAUUUUUAUUUUUUUGGUUUAAAACUUUUAAUUUUGCAAGUCGAUAUUCGAUUUUGUCGUGGUAUUAUUAAAUGGGGUUUUUGGAUAGCCCGAACUGCUAUUGGAUAUGUUUUGGUUUUCCGUGGUUAUAUGCGACCUCGUGCAUUUUUUGCGCGUAUCGACUAGCAGGUCCAUAUUUAUAUUUUAAACUGUAGCGAUCGCUAAUACGGCUCAAAUUGUGCUUUUUUAUCCUAACGUAAUAAAUGUAUUGAAAAACCGUAAAAAAAAUGGUAAAUAUAUUUGCUGGGAUUUGGGGAUAACGAACGGUUAUGGUUUGGCUGUUGGAUUGUUAUUGCUGUUUUUAUAUUAAAAUGGAAAUAUGUUUUUUUAUAAUUUGCGUCGGUUUAGGUCGCCGGGCGGAAAAUAGGAAACUGGUCCACGGCCGACAUAUUUAAGUACCAAGAAAAGGCCUGGUCCGAAAAUAGGUAAAUUUGGAACUGGUGUUUUUCUGUAGCAAAAACGGUGUCCUUAUAUUAAUUAUUAUAUGGCUUUUAUUAUAAAUAUUCUUUUAUUGGGGGAAAUUAAUUGUAAAAUUAUACCACGGUUAAAAACAAUUAAUUAAACCAAGGUUUACCCUGGUAAUUAAAUAUUUUAUUUUGGUUUAUUUUAGGUGCGAGCAAAUUUAAUAAUAGGAAAAUAAUUGAAAAUAUUACUCUCGAAUUUCCCGUAUGGCCAUAUUAUAAUUUUAAACCGAUAUCGGUAUAAUUGAACGAGGGUUAAAAAUUGCCUAAAUCCGUAACGCAAUUACCAAUUCCUAAUUUUGGGCCUUUUAAGUUUUA